GGAUUGUAGCUCAGUGGCUGAGCACUUGCCUUGCAUGUGUGAGGCACUGGGUUCAAUCCUCAGUACCA
Molecule: transfer RNA, 68 nt
Filed under: Marmota monax (woodchuck)
Lineage: Eukaryota; Metazoa; Chordata; Mammalia; Rodentia; Sciuridae
Description: tRNA.Ala
Source: RNAcentral